RNAcentral lists this ribosomal RNA (858 nucleotides) under uncultured euryarchaeote. Its description in RNAcentral is "bacterial SSU rRNA". It matches the Rfam family "Archaeal small subunit ribosomal RNA", at positions 1 to 879 of the family's 1478-position model. The record is from RNAcentral. Lineage: Archaea; Methanobacteriati; Methanobacteriota.
UUCCGGUUGAUCCCGCCGGAGGCGACCGCUUUGGGAGUUCGAUUAAGCCAUGCGAGUCGUGAGUCUUAGGGACUCGGCGUACUGCUCAGUAACACGUGGAUAACCUGCCCUAUCGUCUGGAAUAACCUCGGGAAACUGAGAAUAAGGCCGGAUAGUUCACAAUGCCUGGAACGGUUUGUGAAUCAAGGUAGGAUGGGUCUGUGGCGUAUCAGGUUGUAGGGGGUGUAAAGGACCCCCUAGCCUUCGACGCGUACGGGUGUUGGGAGACAUAGCCCGGAGAUGGAUUCUGAGACACGAAUCCAGACCCUACGGGGUGCAGCAGGCGCGAAAACUUCACACUGCAGGAAACUGUGAUGAGGGAACUCCUAGUGCAUGCACUAUGUGUAUGUAGAUCCUACUCUUAACAAGUAGAGGGAAAGGGCUGGGAAAGACCGGUGCCAGCCGCCGCGGUAAUACCGGCAGCUCAAGUGGUCGUCGCUUUUAUUGGGCCUAAAACGUCCGUAGCCUGUUUGGUAAAUCUGUGGGUAAAUCAAUCCGCUCAACGGAUUGAAUUCUGCAGAGACUGCCAGACUAGGGACCGGGAGAGGUGUGGGGUACUCGAGGGGUAGGGGUAAAAUCCUGUCAUCCUUCGAGGACCACCAGUUGCGAAGGCGCCACACUGGAACGGAUCCGAUGGUCAGGGACGAAGCCUAGGGGCACGGACCGGAUUAGAUACCCGGGUAGUCCUAGGUGUAAACGCUGUGAACUUGGUGUCGGGGGUCCGCAAGGGGUCCCCGGUGCCGGAGUGAAGAUGUUAAGUUCACUGCCUGGGGAGUACGGUCGCAAGGCUGAAACUUAAAGGAAUUGGCGGGGCAGCAC